CUUUAUUAUAUUAAAAACACACUUGCACUAUAGAGCUUCUUGAAUCCGGGGGCGUCUAGUGAGUGACCCGAGAAUGGUGGAGCCGGUGAACCACGAGAACGAUGAGGAGCUUUCACUGUUGCCCCUCAACAGCAGUUGUGAUGGGUCGUGGAGGUUAAACUUCGAUGGAUAUCAGCUAUCUGCAGAGCAAAAGGAGAAAAAGCCGCCUCGGGGCCUCCACGAUUGCUAUGGGGUUUUAGGUCCAGAAGAUGAUGUAGCUGAGUACUAUCAGCAGCAGGUGGAAAUGCUCUUCCUUUGACAUUCCAGGAAUAAA
Molecule: unclassified non-coding RNA, 313 nt
Filed under: Hevea brasiliensis (rubber tree)
Lineage: Eukaryota; Viridiplantae; Streptophyta; Magnoliopsida; Malpighiales; Euphorbiaceae
Source: RNAcentral